This 28-nucleotide non-coding RNA is filed under the name Homo sapiens (human). The record is from RNAcentral. Lineage: Eukaryota; Metazoa; Chordata; Mammalia; Primates; Hominidae.
UUCCUUAGCUCAGAGGGAUGUGAGCAGA